CACUACGUACUGUCACUUUGUAAUUAUUCUCCUUCCAUAAUAACUAAAUCCUCCUGUUGUAGUGGGAGGAAUGGUUUGUAAUGAACUUCCAACCUCCAAAGAUCUUAUCAGCCACCAUUUGUACUCUAUUUAAUUUUAUUUUAGUCUCUACAAGACCAACCAUUUCAGCUUUCAAAUCACCACAAAGGAGUUUCACCUCUUUCUAUUUUGAGAGGCCAUUAAGGCCUCUCACAUUCCAGCAUAGCAGCUUAACUAUCCCUCCAAGGGAUAGUAUUUUUCCCACCCCC
This 287-nucleotide long non-coding RNA is filed under the name Capsicum annuum. RNAcentral's name for it is "long non-coding RNA (CANN_LNC015301)". Lineage: Eukaryota; Viridiplantae; Streptophyta; Magnoliopsida; Solanales; Solanaceae. The record is from RNAcentral.